AGAGUUUGAUCAUGGCUCAGGAUGAACGCUGGCGGCGUGCCUAAUACAUGCAAGCCGAACGAAUAUCGAAAGAUGUGAGUGGCGACCGGGUGCGUAACACGUAGCUGACCUGCCCUCCAGCGGGGGAUAACACCUCGAAAGGGGUGCUAAUACCGCAUGAGUUCGGAGGAAUUAGAAACCUCUGAAGAAACUUCCGGGGCUGGAGGAGGGAGCUGCGGCCCAUCAAGUAGUUGGUAGGGUAGUGGCCUACCAAGCCGACGACGGGUAGGGGGCCUGAGAGGGUGGUCCCCCACACUGGGACUGACAGACGGCCCAGACUCCUACGGGAGGCAGCAGUAAGGGAUAUUGCGCAAUGGGCGAAAGCCUGACGCAGCAACGCCGCGUGGAGGAAGACGGCCUUCGGGUUGUAAACUCCUUUUGGUGAGGACGAGGAAGGACGGUACUCGCCGAAGAAGUCACGGCUAACUACGUGCCAGCAGCCGCGGUAAUAC
RNAcentral lists this ribosomal RNA (491 nucleotides) under uncultured bacterium. RNAcentral's name for it is "bacterial SSU rRNA". It matches the Rfam family "Bacterial small subunit ribosomal RNA", at positions 8 to 526 of the family's 1533-position model. The record is from RNAcentral.